UACAGAGGUCUCAAGCGUUGUUCGGAUUCAUUGGGCGUAAAGGGUGCGUAGGCGGCAUGUUAGGUGAGGUGUGAAAUCCCCCGGCUCAACCGAGGAAUUGCGCUUCAAACCGGCGUGCUUGAGGAAGAUAGAGGUGGGCGGAACUGAUGGUGGAGCGGUGAAAUGCGUUGAUAUCAUCAGGAACACCGGAGGCGAAGGCGGCCCACUGGGUCUUUUCUGACGCUGAGGGACGAAAGCUAGGGGAGCGAACGGG
This 253-nucleotide ribosomal RNA is filed under the name uncultured bacterium. Its description in RNAcentral is "partial 16S ribosomal RNA". It matches the Rfam family "Bacterial small subunit ribosomal RNA", at positions 524 to 776 of the family's 1533-position model. The record is from RNAcentral.